UGAGAUAUGUGGCUAUAUGAGAUAUAACACCUAGUCCACUAAGUUCCACUAAUUGUUAGUGGAACAUUAGGUGUUGAGAUUUGACAAAUUAAUUACAUGCAUUUUUGCAUGUAAUUAGGUUAUAAAUAAGGGAGUUUUCAAAUGGUUGAAGACUUUUGCCUUUUUUAUUAUCCUCCAACAUCUCAACAAAAGAAAAUUUUCUACCUUCCAAUCUCAUUUUAUCUUCAUUUCUUUCUACACCAAAUUGGGUCCCACAACCCGGUUCUUUGUCCAGAGGAUAGUAGUUGAGCACUAGUGGUCGUCUCGAUUUGAAUUACUAAGGAGGUAUCAAAGGUUUUGAAAGCUUCAAAGGUAAUAUUUCAUAAAACUCUAAUUUGAUUAGUUUAGGGUUACUUGUUAAUUGUGGCAAUUAGGGUAGAAAUUCGAUUCUUUUUUCGUUGUGCAUGUCUUAGUUCUAUCACUAAUAUAUGAUAAUUCUGAACCAAGAAGUUCUUCAUUAUCAUCUCGAGGUCAAAAUAUAUCUUUCUUCACAUCUAGUGAAUGAACUUGCAUUGGAAUGUUCCAUGGUUGUGAUUUAUCCAUAUAAAAUAUUUUCAAAGUUUUUUCUGUUGUUGAUGGAUGAAAAAAGAUGUCAUUUGCUAAAUGUUCAAUUUGUAAGUCAAGACAAAAUUUUGCUUUUAUAAGAUCUUUCAUUUUAAAUUCUUUCUGAAGAUAUUUUUUCAGGAGUUUCAAUUAUAUUUAAAUCAUCAACAUAUGCAGUUAUAAUAACAAACUCUGACUAUGAUUUCUUUAUAAAAACGUAUGGACAUAUUGGAUUAUUUUGAUAUUAUUCUUUCAACAAAUAUCCACUCAGGCGAUUUACCACAUUCGUUCUAACUAUUUUGAUCAAUAUAGUGAUCUUUGUAACUUUAUUAAAUAUAGUUUCUGAGAACUUAAUUUAUUUGUUUCAGAUAUUCUAACUUUUUUUUUUUUUUUUUUGGGACUUUCUUAUAAAUAUUAAUCAAAAGAUCCAUAUAAACAUGUUGUGACUACAUCCAUAAGAUGCAUGUCCAUAUUUUCACACAGUCAGAUUCAAUUAAAAAUCAUAAUGUGAUUCCAUCCAUCACUAGGGAAUAUAUCUUCUCAUAAUCAAUACAAAGACUUUAUAUAUAUCUUGUGAUCUCAUUAUCUUUUUUAAAAAAAAAAAAAAAUACCCAUUUACAUCUCAUACAUUGACUCCUGCAGGUGUUUGGACUACUAGUCAAAAAACUUGACGUUAUGAAAGUGAGUUUAAUUAUGCCUCAAUUGCUUCUUUCCACAAAGACAAAUAUUUUCUUUAUUGACAUUCUUCAACAAAUUUUGAUUCAGGAUCCUGAUUUUUAGAUAUAUAUAAGAGCAACAUUAUAUGCAAAAAUAUUGUCGACAACUAUAUUCGUUUGGCUUCAUCUUUUUUUCUAUCAUGACAUAGCACUACAAGAAAAUGGAUAUCUUCCGACGCAAAAAAGCGUCAAGAGAAAUUGCAAAAACGUCGAGAGAGGAUAUCCUAACACAUGAGAUAUAGCGUUGGGAUAUACUUUGACAUUUCUCGAUGCACACAAUUCUACGUCGGGAAAUGUCAAGGGAUACCUCGAUGCUAUAUCUCGUGCGUCGGGAUAUCCUCUAUUUUUUUUUAAAAAAAUAUUUUCCCAUCGUCAUUAUCUUCCUACUUGCAUAACCAUCCAUUUGAUCAUCUUCUUCAACUUCCUACUCUUUUGCAGUUGUUGUGUGCAAACAAACAUAUGCAAAAAUUCAAACCACGAAGAUACACUAAGCAGUAAGUAAACAACAAGAAAAAUAAAAUCAUACUUUACCUUCUAAACUCACCAUGGUUGCCGAGAACAUUAAGAGUGAUUUCAACAUAUUCCAAACUGUUGAAUAUAACAAAAACAUAAAUCAAUAAGAAAUGUUCUAAUACUUAGGAUAAAAGAAAGUCAAUGAUAGAAAAGGAAAUUAAAAAAUUCAAAGGGGUUUAUGUUUAGGAUUUUGAACUUUGAACUACUUCCAACCAAUAAGUUGUGAAAGAGACGAAGACAGAGGGAGUUGUGACAGGGAACAAAGCAGACGACAAUGGGCGGACAACUCUCUCUCUCUCUCUCUCUCUCUCUCUCU
RNAcentral lists this long non-coding RNA (2127 nucleotides) under Cucumis sativus (cucumber). RNAcentral describes it as "long non-coding RNA (CSAT_LNC002683)". Lineage: Eukaryota; Viridiplantae; Streptophyta; Magnoliopsida; Cucurbitales; Cucurbitaceae. The record is from RNAcentral.